GAGUAACGCGUAAGUAAUCUACCCUCGCAUCUGGGAUAACCCACCGAAAGGUGUGCUAAUACCGGAUACGUCUAAGUUAAUAUCUUUUUUUUAGAGAAAGGUGGCCUCUGAUUCAAGCUACUGUGCGGGGAGGAGCCUGCGUACCAUUAGCUAGUUGGUAGGGUAACGGCCUACCAAGGCGACGAUGGUUAGCGGGUCUGAGAGGAUGAUCCGCCACACUGGAACUGAAACACGGACCAG
Molecule: ribosomal RNA, 240 nt
Filed under: uncultured bacterium
Lineage: Bacteria
Description: partial 16S ribosomal RNA
Rfam family: Bacterial small subunit ribosomal RNA
Source: RNAcentral